UACGGGGGGGGCAAGCGUUGUUCGGAAUUACUGGGCGUAAAGGGCGUGUAGGCGGCCAACUAAGUCCGACGUGAAAUCCCCAGGCUUAACCUGGGAACUGCGUCGGAUACUGGAUGGCUUGAAUCCGGGAGAGGGAUGCAGAAUUCCAAGUGUAGCGGUGAAAUGCGUAGAUAUCUGGAGGAAUACCGGUGGCGAAGGCGGCAUCCUGGACCGGCAUUGACGCUGAAGCGCGAAAGCUAGGGGAGCAAACGGG
Molecule: ribosomal RNA, 253 nt
Filed under: uncultured bacterium
Lineage: Bacteria
Description: partial 16S ribosomal RNA
Rfam family: Bacterial small subunit ribosomal RNA
Source: RNAcentral